This 497-nucleotide ribosomal RNA is filed under the name uncultured bacterium. RNAcentral's name for it is "partial 16S ribosomal RNA". It matches the Rfam family "Bacterial small subunit ribosomal RNA", at positions 28 to 507 of the family's 1533-position model. The record is from RNAcentral.
GAUGAACGCUGGCAGCGUGCCUAAUACAUGCAAGUCGAGCGAACAGACGAGGAGCUUGCUCCUCUGACGUUAGCGGCGGACGGGUGAGUAACACGUGGAUAACCUACCUAUAAGACUGGGAUAACUUCGGGAAACCGGAGCUAAUACCGGAUAAUAUAUUGAACCGCAUGGUUCAAUAGUGAAAGACGGUUUUGCUGUCACUUAUAGAUGGAUCCGCGCCGCAUUAGCUAGUUGGUAAGGUAACGGCUUACCAAGGCAACGAUGCGUAGCCGACCUGAGAGGGUGAUCGGCCACACUGGAACUGAGACACGGUCCAGACUCCUACGGGAGGCAGCAGUAGGGAAUCUUCCGCAAAGGGCGAAAGCUUGACGGAGCAACGCCGCGUGAGUGAUGAAGGUCUUCGGAUCGUAAAACUCUGUUAUUAGGGAAGAACAAAUGUGUAAGUAACUAUGCACGUCUUGACGGUACCUAAUCAGAAAGCCACGGCUAACUACGUG